AUCUUCUCUUUGAUAUCUAAAGAUGGAGCCAUAGUGUUCUGAGAUCUUGAAAUGGACUUUUGCAGAGGGCUAGUGUCUGAACUGCUCUAAUUUACCAACAUCUUUCCUGAAUUGUGGGCACCAGUAAUGGGCAUGAUCUUCUGGCAGGGGUUGCACCAGUACCAAAUACAGAGGGAUUCACUUUGCAUCAGUCUGAGAAGUUUCACAAGGUUCAAGGAUGCAAGAUUGUCCAUAACCUUACUUCUUAUGGUUGGACUGAAAACUCUUCAAAAUACUAUAAAAUAAAUUUUGUUUGCUGUUGAAAAAUGAAUACUGCUGCAUAGGUGGAAAAGUAGCUCUUGAGUAGUGUUGAUAGAAUGUGAGGUCAGCACUCUGAGCAAAUUACGUUAUAAACUUAGGGGAGAAAAAAAACCUUCUUACAGUUGUAUAAUGUUGAAAGAGUUAGAUAUAAAUGUAAAGUAAUGCUUCCAGCUGGAAGACAAUGUGUAUGACACAAAUGUAUUUCAUGAAUUAAAUAAAGAGAGGUGAACUAUCAUCCCAUGGAGAUAUUUUAUUUAUAUGCCUCCUUUCUUUCAAGGACUUCAUAAACCCUGAAA
Non-coding RNA from Pelodiscus sinensis (Chinese soft-shelled turtle), 596 nucleotides. The record is from RefSeq and is a predicted model, not a curated record. Lineage: Eukaryota; Metazoa; Chordata; Testudines; Trionychidae.